Molecule: unclassified non-coding RNA, 618 nt
Filed under: Daphnia magna
Lineage: Eukaryota; Metazoa; Arthropoda; Branchiopoda; Diplostraca; Daphniidae
Description: uncharacterized LOC123475399, transcript variant X1
Source: RNAcentral
UGGUGAUUUUGAAAAAUAUGUUGUAAAUGUGGCGCUGUUGUACUUUUCGUCGCGGUCUGACAACGUCGCCCCGACCUCCUGCGUGAGGGACGGGCAGUUCGGUCCAGGCGUAGCUCGAGUUCGGGCGUUUUUCGUGUUUGCUCUGAAAUACAAACCUAGUUAAAGUCGAACACGGCCGAUUGUCGAUUUAAUUUAACGAAAACGUUCGUUCCCUUUGAUCGAGUCAGGUGAUUUCGUAACACAUAUCAUGUAGAAAUAAUUUUACUGCUGCUUUUGGGAUUGUAUUUAAGUCAACAAUGGUUUUGACUGUAAAAGCGAGCACAUAUUCGUAAUUUGGUUUCCAUGACGGCUUCAAAACUCCCUAAAGAAAAAUAUUAUUUUUUAUGCAGGUUUCUCCAUUUGCUUGACGUGAAGAUCUCUUCAAAACUACUUUGAUUGAGUAUUUGACAUGGCCAUAGCCAAAUUUUUCCAACAUCUCAGUUUGAAAUGAAGAGGGAAUUUUUUUUGGAAGUGCAAACGCAAAUGGAAAUUGGUGAACUCCACUGACAAGUUCAAAUGUUUCUCUGCCUGCAAGUAAAACAAUUAAUGUAUAUAAGAUAAUAAAAAUAUUGAACAUUG